RNAcentral lists this ribosomal RNA (457 nucleotides) under uncultured Thiobacillus sp. RNAcentral's name for it is "bacterial SSU rRNA". It matches the Rfam family "Bacterial small subunit ribosomal RNA", at positions 920 to 1382 of the family's 1533-position model. The record is from RNAcentral. Lineage: Bacteria; Pseudomonadati; Pseudomonadota; Betaproteobacteria; Nitrosomonadales; Thiobacillaceae.
CCCGCACAAGCGGUGGAUGAUGUGGAUUAAUUCGAUGCAACGCGAAAACCUUACCUACCCUUGACAUGUCCGGAAUCCUGCAGAGAUGCGGGAGUGCCCGAAAGGGAAUCGGAACACAGGUGCUGCAUGGCUGUCGUCAGCUCGUGUCGUGAGAUGUUGGGUUAAGUCCCGCAACGAGCGCAACCCUUAUCAUUAGUUGCUACGCAAGGGCACUCUAAUGAGACUGCCGGUGACAAACCGGAGGAAGGUGGGGAUGACGUCAAGUCCUCAUGGCCCUUAUGGGUAGGGCUUCACACGUCAUACAAUGGUCGGUACAGAGGGUUGCCAAGCCGCGAGGCGGAGCCAAUCCCACAAAGCCGAUCGUAGUCCGGAUUGUUCUCUGCAACUCGAGAGCAUGAAGUCGGAAUCGCUAGUAAUCGCAGGUCAGCAUACUGCGGUGAAUACGUUCCCGGGUCUU